GAGGAUGCUGGAGUGGUUUGUGUGUCCUGCUUUGUAUGCUACUGCUGGGUGCUGUGAGGGGAAUUCAGGCGAGCUCUGACCUCGCGACAUGUCUAGGGCUCUGUCUGGCCAGAGGCUGGAAGGACAGAGCUAGGAAGGCCUCACUGUCUGAGCCUUUUGAUCUUUGAUCCCUUAAUGGAGGAGCUGUUACUUUCCUGAGAACUGGUUUGGUUGUAUUAGCCAAUGAAGGACGUUGGAAUCAGAGCUACACUGAGGAGCCUGUAAGACCUUCCUGCAUGAAAAUGUGAGGUUGAAGCCUGAGUUGCAAUUUGAGACCAAAAGAUGCUGAUCCAUCUGAGUGAUGAGACAUCUGCAGGGACCGCUGUGUGUAGGGAGUGGAAGUAACCAAAGAGGAAGAUUUAUGAGAAGUUGAAGGAGCAGGGCCAUCUAAGUCCUUUGAACCUGAUCUGCAUGAGUCUGAGACACAGCUACAGGAUUGGGUGUUUGUCCUGCUGGGGUUCUGUCUUGCUUUGGUUUAAUCUUCUCUAACUUUAUAAUUCCUGUCUUUUGGAAUGGGAAUAUGUAGUCUAUGCCACUGUAUGCUGGAAAGGUACAGAUUAUUUGCUGAUUUUACAAGAUGUAUUAGUGAAGAGACUGCCUUGACUGUCAACUGAGAGUUUGGACAUUUGAAUAGGGUACAUGUUGUUGCAGAAUAUGGGAACCAGUAAAGUUAGACUAUAAAUAUGUUCAUCCUGCGAUGACCAUGAACUUACAGUGACCAGAGUCAGAAUGCAGUCAAUUGAAUGUAAAAUCUUCCUAUCUGUGAUGAUGCCUUUGCACAUCAUUUGUCCUUAAUAACUGUUUGCAGGGAAGUCUUUGAAGCUUGUGUAAGAGGAAAGUUUCUAGAUGAAAGUCCUCCUUGAGGAUAGGAUUGGAGUGUUCAUAGACCCAUUUCCUGUUCUUUGUGUCCACUGGUUUGUUGUUAAAAGUGACCAGUCAGCUUCUUUCUCAUGCUGUCAUCAUAUUGACUCUAUCCAUAAAUCAAAUAUGAUAGUGUAGAAGCAAUUCCCAUUCAGACCUACCUGAUUUUGCUAUGUCUAGUUUUUAUAGUUUUAAUUUUGUUGGGUUUUUUUUUUUUUUUUUUUUUUUUUUUUUUUUUUUUUUGAAGACAGGAUUUCUCUGUGAAAUCCUGGAUGUCCUAGAAGAGUUAUGUAGACUAGAAUGGACUUACAUUUAGAGAUCUACCUAUGUGACUCUUCUCGGCAGAGAUUAAAUAUGGGUCAAGAUGCCUGGCUUUUAUUGUUUCAGGGCCGGGAAUGGAUUUUUUUUUUCACAUGACAAGAAUGUAUGGUUGUUUUGUGUUUCAGUUACAUCUUGAAUAAUAAAAUUUGCCAGAGAGUAUUAUUC
This 1386-nucleotide long non-coding RNA is filed under the name Mus musculus (house mouse). Its description in RNAcentral is "expressed sequence EU599041". Lineage: Eukaryota; Metazoa; Chordata; Mammalia; Rodentia; Muridae. The record is from RNAcentral.